UACGGAGGAUCCGAGCGUUAUCCGGAUUUAUUGGGUUUAAAGGGUGCGUAGGCGGGCCUGUAAGUCAGCGGUGAAAGUUCGUGGCUCAACCACGGAAUUGCCGUUGAAACUACCGGCCUUGAGUGUAGAUGAGGUGGGUGGAAUUCGUAGUGUAGCGGUGAAAUGCAUAGAUAUUACGAAGAACUCCGAUUGCGUAGGCAGCUCACUGGGCUACAACUGACGCUGAGGCACGAAGGUGCGGGGAUCAAAC
Molecule: ribosomal RNA, 250 nt
Filed under: uncultured bacterium
Lineage: Bacteria
Description: partial 16S ribosomal RNA
Rfam family: Bacterial small subunit ribosomal RNA
Source: RNAcentral